GAUGAACGCUAGCUACAGGCUUAACACAUGCAAGUCGAGGGGCAGCGGUAUCGAAAGCUUGCUUUCGGUAGCCGGCGACCGGCGCACGGGUGAGUAACGCGUAUCGAACCUGCCUCAUACUCGGGAAUAGCCUUGCGAAAGUAAGAUUAAUGCCCGGUGUUUUCAGAGUCCCGCAUGAGGCUUUGAACAAAGAUUUAUCGGUAUGAGAUGGCGAUGCGUCCCAUUAGCUUGUUGGCGGGGUAACGGCCCACCAAGGCAUCGAUGGGUAGGGGUUCUGAGAGGAAGGUCCCCCACAUUGGAACUGAGACCCGGUCCAAACUCCUACGGGAGGCAGCAGUGAGGAAUAUUGGUCAAUGGGCGGAAGCCUGAACCAGCCAAGUAGCGUGCAGGAAGACGGCCCUCCGGGUUGUAAACUGCUUUUAGUUGGGAAUAAAACGGGGCUCGUGAGCCCCCUUGCAUGUACCAUCAGAAAAAGGACCGGCUAAUUCCGUG
This 492-nucleotide ribosomal RNA is filed under the name uncultured bacterium. RNAcentral describes it as "partial 16S ribosomal RNA". It matches the Rfam family "Bacterial small subunit ribosomal RNA", at positions 28 to 507 of the family's 1533-position model. The record is from RNAcentral.